This is a non-coding RNA of Protopterus annectens (West African lungfish), 74 nucleotides long. The record is from the annotation of a RefSeq genome assembly. Lineage: Eukaryota; Metazoa; Chordata; Ceratodontiformes; Protopteridae.
GGCCGGUUAGCUCAGUUGGUUAGAGUGUGGUAUUAAUAAUGCUAAGGUCAUGGGUUUAACCCCCAUAUGGGUCA